GGUUAAGCGACUAAGCGUACACGGUGGAUGCCCUGGCAGUCAGAGGCGAUGAAGGACGUGCUAAUCUGCGAAAAGCGCCGGCGAGGUGAUAUGAACCUUUGACCCGGCGAUGUCCGAAUGGGGAAACCCAGUGUGUUCCGACACACUAUCGUUAACUGAAUACAUAGGUUAACGAGGCGAACCGGGGGAACUGAAACAUCUAAGUACCCCGAGGAAAAGAAAUCAACCGAGAUUCCCCCAGUAGCGGCGAGCGAACGGGGAGCAGCCCGGAGUCUGAAUCAGCUUGUGUGUUAGUGGAACGGUCUGGAAAGUCCGACGGUACAGGGUGAUAGUCCCGUACACGAAAACACACUUGCUGUGAACUCGAAGAGUAGGGCGGGACACGUGGUAUCCUGUCUGAAUAUGGGGGGACCAGUCCUCCAAGGCUAAAUACUCCUGACUGACCGAUAGUGAACCAGUACCGUGAGGGAAA
This 472-nucleotide ribosomal RNA is filed under the name Enterobacter cloacae subsp. cloacae GS1. RNAcentral's name for it is "bacterial LSU rRNA". It matches the Rfam family "Bacterial large subunit ribosomal RNA", at positions 1 to 512 of the family's 2925-position model. Lineage: Bacteria; Pseudomonadati; Pseudomonadota; Gammaproteobacteria; Enterobacterales; Enterobacteriaceae. The record is from RNAcentral.